RNAcentral lists this ribosomal RNA (1410 nucleotides) under metagenome. RNAcentral's name for it is "SSU rRNA". It matches the Rfam family "Eukaryotic small subunit ribosomal RNA", at positions 340 to 1752 of the family's 1831-position model. The record is from RNAcentral.
ACUUGCUAGCCUUUGACGGGUAACGGAGAAUUAGGGUUCGAUUCCGGAGAAGGAGCCUGAGAGACGGCUACUACAUCUAGGGAAGGCAGCAGGCGCGCAAAUUUCCCAAUGCUCAUCGAGCGAGGAAGUGACGACCAAUACUAAUGUGCGUGUUUUAAACAUGAGCAAUUAGAAUGAAAACAAAUUAUCAAUCUUAUUGAUGAUCAAUCGGAGGGCAAGUCUGGUGCCAGCAGCCGCGGUAAUUCCAGCUCCAAUAGGAUAUAUCAAAGUUGUUGCAGUUGAAAAGCUCGUAGUCGUACUUUUGGUGGGUCGGAUGCUGGACUAGAGCUUAGCGCAAGCUGAGAUUUAAUCUAGCCCCCCGCCAUUUUGUGGGCAAACGUGUUCAAGCUGUGGUUUACUCUAUGACUUGUUCGCGCCACUCCGUCACUGAGAGCAAAUUGGGGCGCUCAAAGCAGGCUUUACAGCUUUGAACAUCUUAGCUUGGAAUGACAAAGUAUGACUGUUUGUUUACUUUGUUGGUUAUAAGCGAAUAGUAAUGAUAAAUAGGAACAGUUGCGGGGGUACUCGUACUGGGAAGUCAGAGGUGAAAUUCUUGGAUUUUCCCACGACGAACGACUGCGAAAGCAUUUACCAAGGAUGUUUUCAUUGAUCAAGAACGAAAGUGCGAGGAUCGAAGAUGAUUAGAUACCAUCGUAGUUCGCACAGUAAACGAUGCCGACUCGGGAUUGUCUUCCUUUCGCUAUAAUAGAAGGAUGACAGCACCGUAUGAGAAAUCAAAGUCUUUGGGUUCCGGGGGGAGUAUGGUCGCAAGGCUGAAACUUAAAGGAAUUGACGGAAGGGCACACCAGAGGUGGAGCCUGCGGUUUAAUUUGACCCAACACGGGGAAACUCACCAGGUCCAGACAUGAGAAGGAUUGACAGUUUGAAAGCACUUUCUUGAUUUCAUGGGUGGUGGUGCAUGGCCGUUCUUAGUUGGUGGAGUGAUUUGUCUGGUUGAUUCCGAUAACGAACGAGACUCUCUGAGUAAACUGGUUUAGGCAGUAAUUCGCGUUACCGCCGGCCUCUUUUCUCGACUAUUCGUUUUAAACGAAAGGAAGCGGAGAGCAAUAACAGGUCUGUGAUGCCCCUCGAUGUUCUGGGCUACACGCGCGCUACAAUGACGAGUUCAACGAGUUAUUUCUCCUUGCCCGGAAGGGUGUGGGUAAUCUUUUCAAUGCUCGUCGUGAUGGGGCUAGAUUAUUGUAAUUAUUAAUCUUCAACGAGGAAUCUCUAGUAUGUGCAGUUCAUCAGACUGCGCAGAAUGCGUCCCUGCCCUUUGUACACACCGCCCGUCGCACCUACCGAUUGGACGAUCCGGCAAGAAGUUUGGAGUUGUGUUUGUUUUGUUUUCGGACGAGACGGAUGCGGCGA